RNAcentral lists this long non-coding RNA (233 nucleotides) under Gossypium raimondii (Peruvian cotton). RNAcentral's name for it is "long non-coding RNA (GRAI_LNC003151)". Lineage: Eukaryota; Viridiplantae; Streptophyta; Magnoliopsida; Malvales; Malvaceae. The record is from RNAcentral.
GCUUGAACACUUGGCAUCCACGGAGCAAUCAGUCGUUGUAGUACGCAGGUGCUGUUUCAAGGCAUGUUAUGCAACCUGAGACGUACCUCUCCAACACUUACUACCAUUGCCACACCUCAUUAUAUGAAGCGGUCCACCCACUAUGCAUCUUUUUCAAUGCCUUCUACUUAGCUAUCCAAGCCUUGCGGUAAGAGGGUGUGUACCUCAAUUAGCUACGAAUAUUGGCAAUUAAG